UCCCCCUGAAAAUGGACUUUUCUUCUUUUACCACAUUACCAGGCUGUGACAAAGAUAUCUGAGAAUGUAGAAGCAGGUUCAGAAGUGGGUAAAAGAGAGAGAGGUCGGGAGAGUUGGGAACCCUUAGAAGACAGCAAGAUGAGGAAAAGUUUAGACCACUGAAAAUAACUGUUAAAUACUUGGGAUCAGAAGUCUGACAGAAAGAUGGACAGUGAAGGCCAGACUUAAAAGGUCUCAGAUGAAAAUGAGGAAUGUCCUGUGAACAGGAGCCAAGGGUACAUUUGAUUGGCCUUAGCCCUGGAGAUCUCUGAAACUGUGAACAUGGGGGUGAUGAUUUAGGAUGUAUCUGGUGGAAUGAACAUCUAGGCAGCAUAGCUCAAGAGGUGUCCUCUCUACAUCCAACAGCCUGUGUUCUUAUGUGUGACCUAAGAAAUGACCUCAAGUUGCAACUUCUAUUUAAAUGAGAAGUGGAGCUCAAAAAUUUGAAAAAUUUGCAGCCUAGCCAAGUGGUCAAAAAGAAAAGCUGAUUUUCAGGGGGGAAAUUCAAGAACGCUUAGAGUGUUUGCAUAAAAAAGAGCCCAGUGCAAAUAGCCAAGACAAUGGGGAAAAGGCCUUGAAGGCAUUUCAGAGAUCUUUUCAGCAGCCGUUGCUGUCACAGGCCCUAGGGAUGAGGAGAGAAUGGUUUCCUGGGCCAGCUCCAUGGCCUGGCUGCUGUGUGCAUCCUCAGGACACCGCUGCCUGCAUCCCUGCAGCUCCAGCUCCAGCCAUGGCUGAAAGAUGCACAGGUACAGCUUGGGUCACUGCUCCAAGCCCUGAUGGCUUCCACAUAGUGUUAAGCCAGGAGGUGCACAGAGCAAGAGACUAGAGGCUUAGGAGCCUCCGUCUAGACUCCAGAGGAUGUACAGAAAAGCCUGGGUGUCCAGGCAGAAGCCUUUCCAAGAGGCAGAGCCUCAUGGGAAACCUUUACUAGGGCAGGAAAGAAGGGACAUGUCAGGUUGAAGCCCUCACACAAGGAGGCACCAUCCUUCAAACCCCAGAUUCAUAGACCCACCAACAGUUUGCACCCUCAGUGUGGGAAAGAUACAGACACUCGACACCAGCCUCGUCCAUGAGGGCAGCUGCGGGGACUUAUCACUGCAAACCCACAGGUGGAGAUCUGCCCAAAGCCUUGGGAGCCCAGCCCUCACACCCCUGUGCCGUGGAUGUGGGACAAGGAUUCCAAAAGGAUGAUUUUGGAGCUGUAGGAUUGAAUGACGGGCCUGCUGGGUUUUGGACAUUCAUGUAUCCUAGGCUCAGGGGCAGAAGAGACUGCCUCAUCUCAGAUGAGACUUUGGGCUUCAGACAUUUGAGUAAAUGCUGGAAUGAGUUAAGACCUUGUGGCACUGUAGGUGUGGCCUGGUGGGAGGUGAUUUAUUCCUGUACUUGAGAGGGGUGGAGUUGGAAGUAAAAAGAAGUGGGCUGCAACAAGGAUGGAUGAAAAUGUAAAAGCAGGUUCAGAAGAGGGUAACAGCCAGAGGUUGGAAAGUUUGGAGGCCUUGGAAGAAGUCAGGAAGAUGAAGGUAAGUUUUGACCAUUGUAGAGACUUGUUAAAUAGUUAUAAUUAAAAGGGCGACAGAAGGAUGGACAGUGAAGGCCAGGCUUACAAGAUCUCAGAUGAAAAUGAGGAAUUUACUGAAAACAGGAGCCAAGGUUACUUUGGUUUUGCCUUAGCAAAGAAUAUCACUGCAUGAUGCCCUUAACCUGGAGACCUAUGAAACUUUGAAC
Molecule: long non-coding RNA, 1764 nt
Filed under: Homo sapiens (human)
Lineage: Eukaryota; Metazoa; Chordata; Mammalia; Primates; Hominidae
Description: non-protein coding lnc-CTSV-6:1
Source: RNAcentral